AUAGGAUCUGUGUUAAAUUUAUGAGACAAAUAGGAAACAAUGGUCUUCCAAACACAAUAGAAGAUAACUAAGCGUUGGACUGCAGCCACCUACAAAGCACAUGGUGCUCUGCACCACAGAAGUGAAGCACUUUCAGUUUAGCACUCCUUAACUUCAACAACACAGGUAUCUGUUUUGUUUCUGCCACAAAGAACCCACUGGCAAAGUCAGCAUCUUUGAAAUCUGACACAAUUCGGAUAUAGCACGACAGCCAGUUGAGAUGAUCAAUGAGGAAAACAGCUCAUGCUAAUGUGACAAACCGUCUGACACACAGACUUGGUAGGGCCCAGACAGCUUGCUCUUGAACUGCUCCAGUCUCAGAAGAAAUCAGAGAGCACUGGCCAAAAUCUCUUCUUUUCCCAAGGUACCUCACGUUCUGAGCAAAGGAGGUAGUUAAUUAAAUUCAGGCUCUUCACUUAUUCCAACUCACAGUGGCCCACAGUCUGGAUCUACAGUCUCAACACAGACAAAGUCCAGGUGAUGCGAAGGUGCCAGGAAGACACCACUGCUUGGAUGACACGCGAGUAUCUGGCUGAAGGUGUCCGGCUAUGGCUGGCCACUUGUGUUUGAAACAGAAGGCCAGUCCCAUCCUCAGCAACCACCAUUCCUCGCGUGUAACAGCUGCAUUCACAUCUGCACCCCCUGAACAAGUUAUAUGCCACCCCUGCACAUGUGGAUAUCGCAACUACCAGAAACAAGCAGAUUCUUGAAGGGCACUCAAAACUCGUCGUAUCCUGGGAACUCAGAAUAAAUACAGUCCUCUGAAAUAACCUAAAAUAUUUUGACCUCCAAGGCAUCCUACAAGGCUCCUUUAAAAAAGAAAUAAGCUUGAUUUUUAGAACAGAAGGCACGAAGCAGAAGGGAUGCCAAAGAGGAAGGACAGGAUUUUCAGAGGCCUUUGUUGCGUGCUGCUCACUAGUGGAGUGUGGAAGCAACCAUACAGCACGACCAGAAGCAAACAGCCAGGGGUGCCGAAAGCAGGCCUUUCCACUGACAGAGAAAUGAAAGGUCAAAGAGCUUGCUGUUUAACCUGGCACUAGAGCAGUGCACCAAGAUGAUCAUCUCACAGAUAAGGAAGACAGAAACAAAGCUAUUCAUCUGAGUGGACUUGAACAAGACCCUGGCCUACAAAUACUAGUCCUGGUUCUGGCAGAACAGUUUACGAAGUAAUUCUGAGCAAGCUGCAACAUUCACUCUUUACUUUAUUAAUCAGUGAAACAAAGACAGUAUUUGCCUAACUUGUAAUACUUGUGUACACAAACACUAGUAAAUACAGUCAACAGCAACCUUUCAAAAGAAAAAGCCUUGUUCUGAACAUCUACACUACAAGAUAAAAUGCAAAAUUCACAGUAACGCUGCAAUGCACCUGCAAAUUCCACAAUCGAAAAGUGCUUUGAUGUCCUUUCAAGUUUGGGAUCACAAGAAAAGACUCCAAGAGUGAUGAUUUUCAGGGCCAUUUUAAGCUGAACAAAACCACCACAUGAAUGGGCAACCCCAAUGAUCCACCCUACUGAGAACGGUGAAAGGAAAAAAUUACUUAUGCAGCUGCAUGAAUAAUUUAGUGACUCUGAAACAAUACCAUUUAUUUCCUUCAAUUUAGACACUGCCACUUGGUACCAACAUCAUCAUAUUAAAAAAAAUGAAGUAAGAAAGAAGAUUCUUUCCAAAUAUUAGUAAUUGUUGCUGAAAUUCUUCCAAAGAAUUUGUUUCUACACCACAGGAAGCCUGCAAAAUUUCAACCUAAAUUUAGCAGCAACUGGAAUAAAAGGAUAUAAAGAAACUUAGCUACAGCAGGAAAAAUAGCUCCUACUACCACACACUGGUGCCAAAAUACCUAUAAUGAGAUAAAAUGUUUUAUUUAUCAGAAUAUUUUAGAAAUUCUUUCACAACAGUAAUUUAGCUUAAGUACACUUCAUUACCAGAACUCAUUCUUCAAAAGACAAGACUAUUAUAUUUUCAAGAUUCUUUUGUUAAAAACCCAAGUUCUCAUCUUCAGUAGGGAUGUUGUUGGUGAACUGAUAAGAAGAUACUCCCCUACAUGUGCAGAUGUGGCACUGGUAUGUUCCAAACACAACAUUUGUGUGCUUGGCAAUUUUUAACACUACACUAACAUCACUGCCUAAGCAAUUCUUUGCAGUUCCAGAUGUAUUGCGCAAGCACAGAUCUCUAUCAAGCCUAAGCAGGGGAAACGACUUCUCCUCAUUUGCUUCCCCAGGAACAUGCAGAUCACUGAGAUAUCUUCACCAGUUGCAUCCUACAGUAUUCGUUUUUGAUAUUUAGCUAAUCCAGAACAUCACCAUGUCAAGGUAAUUUGUCAGACCCUCUCCAGUAUCAAAGCAACAGGAGAAACUGGAGAUCCUUGCAUGCUCAUGACAGUUCACAGACUACCAAUUUCCAAAACAUGCUCUUUGUGCAUAGCCUGACAGCUGGAGGCUCUGCUGAAUCCUUAUCAUGCCCUAAGCUCAAUUUUCAAUGCUUUGUAGCAGACAAAAGGAAAAGAUGUCAUCUAAUUGACAACGGUAGAAUGGAAGAGGCUGAAAUAAAGGGGUUUAGAGCUAUGUUGAUUCUAUCCUGUUCAAGAGAAUUUACCUUUCAGUCUCUAUAAAAGAUGCUAAGGUAUCAAGUAUGUGCACAUUGUACCCUUGCAAGGCAUACUCUUCAGCUCUUUGUUUUCAAGAGCCUUUAGACAGUGUUUACACUUGAACCAUACACAGCACUUCAGUACUAGCUUCGCCAAUGCCAUACACAGAUAAAAAAAUCAUUUUUCCCUUUUUAUAACAUCCAAAUGCACUGUGAUUUUCCACCAUACUGCACUGUAAGUUCACGUUCAACUUCUUUUUCACUACAAGAGUGAUUUAAGACUCAGAAAUAAAAAAAGGAAUAGCAAAAGGGAAGGACAAAAGAGCAAGUAUGUAUUGAUAGUCUUUCUGAUCAAGACAACUACUGUAUACAGCAACACAGACAAUCCCUGCUGGCAAAGCACGACAAAAACUAUAUGCUUGUGUUAGCACCUAUAAGACCUGGGUGGGGAAUUUAUUUUUCUGAGACCCACAAAGACCUUUCCAACAUCUUCGGCAGACAGCGUUGCCGCAAAACAAGACAAGGAUAAAAAGCAAAGUCAAGAGCUUUAUGCAUUUUAACAACCGUGCUCUCAAGCCAAGUUUGUUCUCAAUGCUUUAGUCAAUCCAUAUUUUGCAGGGUCAUAGCAGGUUGACAGCAGGGCUCUUUGCUGAAGCCAAUCUCUUGAUAACUAAACCAUAAUCAAGUACAGAGGAGCACGGGUUAGAUGAUCCGGGGAAUGGACUGUUUAUUUUACAAGAAGUAGCUGGGAUGCUUUGCCUUGUAUAGCUUGGCAAAGACAGAGACAGAGAGAGGAUACGAUUACUAUCUACAAAUACAUCAAAGGAAUAAAUGCUGAGGACGGAGGGGAGCUACUCAAGAACAAUACUGGCACAACAGUUUAAGAGUAUGAAGUGACCAUAAAUAAAAUUUGGAGCAGAAAUUAUAAAGUUUAUCUUUCAAAAUAGCUUCCAAUUAGAACAGCAGGGAUGAAAACUUUUGAUGACUGUCUUAAUCCACUUUUAUAGCCUCAUCAGCUGGGCACCCACAACAGCCCUUGCACAGCAAAGAACACAAAUAGGAAGGCAAAAUGAAAAACAAGCAACUACAAGAUAAGCUGGCUCACUGUUUCUGGAAGAUACCACAUUGCCAGACAGACAAUAGCAAGAAACAAUAUUUGCUUACUGCACAGUUUCAGAAGCAGUAUUAAGACCGUACUAAGAGGGUAUGUAAGUGCAUGGAAAGAAUGCAACUUCCAGCUUAAGGUGGCUUCCUCUCCCCAUGCGUCUGAAAUUGUUGGGAUAGAAGUCUAUGGAUUUAAGUGUGCCCUACAAACAGCAUGGGAAAUGCAAUGCCUCCCUCUCAAGUUUGAAUGUUUAUCAAUCUCUGCAACGUAGAGCUGACGACUUUUUGUCCUGCAGUGACUGCAUCUCUCAGUGCAACGCAAACAUGGCAUCAGCGUGGCUGAGCACACGUGCACUACGGCAAUUUCUCAGCGAGUUGGAAGUGACAAGGGUAUCCCCCGGACAGAAGUUGUUAUUUCGCACUCAGCCCACUUGAUGUCACUAAUGACCACUACUCGCGAGCAGCUCAAUCACUUCGAGGAGCUGGAGUCACAAAUUCAGACUACGCAAUUCAAAAGGAGAGCACUUACUCUUUUUAUUACAUCUAUACAUUCCUCUGCUAAUUUUAAUCCAUUACGAUAAGCUGUCUCCUUAACAGAGUGGCAUUCAAGGAAACAAAGACUUAAUUAAGAGUGCAAGGCAUAGAUCUGCCUCAAGUACUG
Molecule: long non-coding RNA, 4384 nt
Organism: Grus americana (Whooping crane)
Lineage: Eukaryota; Metazoa; Chordata; Aves; Gruiformes; Gruidae
Exons: 3
Source: RefSeq, a predicted model, not a curated record